GACGAACGCUGGCGGCGUGCUUAACACAUGCAAGUCGAGCGAUGAAGUUUCUUCGGAAAUGGAUUAGCGGCGAACGGGUGAGGAACACGUGAAGAAUCUGCCCUCCACUUUGGGAUAACACCGGGAAACCGGUGCUAAUACCGAAUAUUGAAACAUAAGUGGCAUCACUGAGUUUUGAAGGAAUUUCGGUGGAGGAUGACUUCGCGGCCUAUCAGCUAGUUGGUGAGGUAAUGGCUCACCAAGGCAACGACGGGUAGCCGGCCUGAGAGGGCGACCGGCCACACUGGGACUGAGACACGGCCCAGACUCCUACGGGAGGCAGCAGUGGGGAAUAUUGGGCAAUGGAGGAAACUCUGACCCAGCGACGCCGCGUGCGGGAUGAAGGCCUUCGGGUUGUAAACCGCUUUCAGUAGGGAAGAAGCGAAAGUGACGGUACCUACAAAAGAAGCACCGGCUAACUAUGUGCCAGCAGCCGCGGUAAUACAUAGGGUGCAAGCGUUGUCCGGAAUUAUUGGGCGUAAAGAGCUCGUAGGUCGUUUGUUACGUCGGAUGUGAAAACCUGAGGCUCAACCUCAGGCCUGCAUUCGAUACGGGCAAACUAGAGUUUGGUAGGGGAGACUGGAAUUCCUGGUGUAGCGGUGGAAUGCGCAGAUAUCAGGAGGAACACCAAUGGCGAAGGCAGGUCUCUGGGCCAAUACUGACACUGAGGAGCGAAAGUCUGGGGAGCAAACAGGAUUAGAUACCCUGGUAGUCCAGACCGUAAACGGUGGGCACUAGUUGUGGGAACCUUCCACGGUUUCUGCGACGCAGCUAACGCAUUAAGUGCCCCGCCUGGGGAGUACGAUCGCAAGAUUA
This 855-nucleotide ribosomal RNA is filed under the name uncultured bacterium. RNAcentral describes it as "bacterial SSU rRNA". It matches the Rfam family "Bacterial small subunit ribosomal RNA", at positions 28 to 896 of the family's 1533-position model. The record is from RNAcentral.